GACGAACGCUGGCGGCGUGCUUAACACAUGCAAGUCGAACGGUAAGGCCCUGCUUUUGUGGGGUGCUCGAGUGGCGAACGGGUGAGUAACACGUGAGUAACCUGCCCUUGACUUUGGGAUAACUUCAGGAAACUCGGGCUAAUACCGGAUAUGAGCUCCUGCUGCAUGGUGGGGGUUGGAAAGUUUCGGCGGUUGGGGAUGGACUCGCGGCUUAGCAGCUUGUUGGUGGGGUAGUGGCUUACCAAGGCUUUGACGGGUAGCCGGCCUGAGAGGGUGACCGGCCACAUUGGGACUGAGAUACGGCCCAGACUCCUACGGGAGGCAGCAGUGGGGAAUAUUGCACAAUGGGCGGAAGCCUGAUGCAGCAACGCCGCGUGCGGGAUGACGGCCUUCGGGUUGUAAACCGCUUUCGCCUGUGACGAAGCGUGAGUGACGGUAAUGGGUAAAGAAGCACCGGCUAACUACGUG
Molecule: ribosomal RNA, 468 nt
Filed under: uncultured bacterium
Lineage: Bacteria
Description: partial 16S ribosomal RNA
Rfam family: Bacterial small subunit ribosomal RNA
Source: RNAcentral